This 382-nucleotide ribosomal RNA is filed under the name Percina caprodes (logperch). Its description in RNAcentral is "partial 12S ribosomal RNA". Lineage: Eukaryota; Metazoa; Chordata; Actinopteri; Perciformes; Percidae. The record is from RNAcentral.
CAAAGGCUUGGUCCUGACUUUACUAUCAACUCUAGCUAAACUUACACAUGCAAGUAUCCGCACCCCCGUGAGAAUGCCCUACAGUUCCCCGCCCGGGAACAAGGAGCUGGUAUCAGGCACGCACUACUAGCCCACGACACCUUGCUUAGCCACACCCCCAAGGGAACUCAGCAGUGAUAAACAUUAAGCCAUAAGUGAAAACUUGACUUAGUUAAAGCUAAGAGGGCCGGUAAAACUCGUGCCAGCCACCGCGGUUAUACGAGAGGCCCAAGUUGAUAAUUACCGGCGUAAAGCGUGGUUAAGAUUUUUAUAGAACUAAAGCCGAACCCCUUCAGAGCUGUUAUACGCACCCGAAGGUAAGAAGUUCAACCACGAAAGUGGC